AUGCUAAUCCUAGGAAGAUGAGACAACUGCUGCAGAGCCAACCCAGACAACCACCAACAGGGUGAAGCAGAGCUACCUCCAAUUCUGCAGCCUGUGAAGAGUUCAACUCCAGUGAAGCCCAGCCUCAAUCAGCCAGUGCCCUGUGAUUAUGAAAAUAAGUGAUUUUUGUCUUAGCCACAGCAUUUUGGGUUGGAUUAAUGGGUACACUUACUGUGGCAAAGUUAACUGCUACAAAUGUUGAAAAUUAGAUAGCAGAAGAACAAAGUAUAGAUGAUUAAUACAUUCCAAGAUCGCCAGAGUUAGUAAGCAGCAGAAGUGGGAUUUAAGCUUAGGUCUGUCUGACCACAGACCCUAGGCUCCUAAACACUAUCUGUACUAAUUAUAAUAAAUCUUGGAUUCCAGUUUCAGAUAGGAGAGCACAAUCAGAAGUUCAUGAUCGUUUGAGAUUCAUCAUUUAGGUCCCAUCUUUUUUUUUUUUAUGGAAUUGCUGUCAGAGUGACUCUUCUUUUCUUAAGGAAUGAGAUAUCACCAGGAGAACCCAGCUCCCACUGAGAAGAAAUAAACACAGAUCCCAGCAGCUGCCUGAGUAAGUCCGUGCCAUCCAUCGUCCCCCAAGCUGCUCAGAGACAGUGAUGCAGUGUUUCAAGCUGCCUCUGAAAUAAGCGAGCAGCUGGGCUGGAGCAUGAAGCUGGUGAUUUAAGGUGGUGUCUCUGCCACUCCAUGCUGCCACUAUGCCCUCAGAGGAAUCCACGUAAGUGGGGAGUAGAUGAGCUCUCCAGGGAGUUGGUCAGGCCAGUGGUGCUGAAGCACAGGGAAAUUUAUGGCAGUGUUUCCAAAUGGCUGCCAGCAGACCAGUGAGGCUUCAAAAGCCUGGAGAGCCUCUUCCCUUGCUUCACUCCAUUCCCACUGCCACCACCUAGCUGUAAUUCCCAGAAUCUCAGGCCUGGAUGAUAGCAACAAAAGUCCUGUCACUUAGGCUUCAACUCCUCAUUUUUUAUCCCAUUGGGAUGCAAUGACUCAUACCUCUUUGACCCCUUUGUAUCAUACAUCCUAAUAAAAUAGUCAUAGGGGAAAAAGUACAACAAGUACAAGAUUAAAUAUCAGAGCCCUAUAUUUGGAUCCCAAAUAAUAUUAGAUAUCAUUGCAUAAUUGGGAUUAGUAUA
Molecule: long non-coding RNA, 1163 nt
Filed under: Homo sapiens (human)
Lineage: Eukaryota; Metazoa; Chordata; Mammalia; Primates; Hominidae
Description: HSALNT0154683
Source: RNAcentral